Molecule: ribosomal RNA, 1360 nt
Filed under: uncultured bacterium
Lineage: Bacteria
Description: bacterial SSU rRNA
Rfam family: Bacterial small subunit ribosomal RNA
Source: RNAcentral
AUUGAACGCUGGCGGCAGGCCUAACACAUGCAAGUCGAACGGUAGCACAGAGAGCUUGCUCUCGGGUGACGAGUGGCGGACGGGUGAGUAAUGUCUGGGAAACUGCCCGAUGGAGGGGGAUAACUACCGGAAACGGUAGCUAAUACCGCAUAAUGUCGCAAGACCAAAGAGGGGGACCUUCGGGCCUCUUGCCAUCGGAUGUGCCCAGAUGGGAUUAGCUUGUAGGUGAGGUAACGGCUCACCUAGGCGACGAUCCCUAGCUGGUCUGAGAGGAUGACCAGCCACACUGGAACUGAGACACGGUCCAGACUCCUACGGGAGGCAGCAGUGGGGAAUAUUGCACAAUGGGCGCAAGCCUGAUGCAGCCAUGCCGCGUGUAUGAAGAAGGCCUUCGGGUUGUAAAGUACUUUCAGCGGGGAGGAAGGGAGUGAGGUUAAUAACCUUAUUCAUUGACGUUACCCGCAGAAGAAGCACCGGCUAACUCCGUGCCAGCAGCCGCGGUAAUGCGGAGGGUGCAAGCGUUAAUCGGAAAUACUGGGCGUAAGCGCACGCAGGCGGUCUGUCAAGUCGGAUGUGAAAUCCCCGGGCUCAACCUGGGAACUGCAUUCGAAACUGGCAGGCUGGAGUCUUGUAGAGGGGGGUAGAAUUCCAGGUGUACCGGUGAAAUGCGUAGAGAUCUGGAGGAAUACCGGUGGCGAAGGCGGCCCCCUGGACAAAGACUGACGCUCACGUGCGAAAGCGUGGGGAGCAAACAGGAUUAGAUACCCUGGUAGUCCACGCUGUAAACGAUGUCGACUUGGAGGUUGUUCCCUUGAGGAGUGGCUUCCGGAGCUAACGCGUUAAGUCGACCGCCUGGGGAGUACGGCCGCAAGGUUAAAACUCAAAUGAAUUGACGGGGGCCCGCACAAGCGGUGGAGCAUGUGGUUUUAUUCGAUGCAACGCGAAGAACCUUACCUACUCUUGACAUCCACGGAAUUUGGCAGAGAUGCCUUAGUGCCUUCGGGAACCGUGAGACAGGUGCUGCAUGGCUGUCGUCAGCUCGUGUUGUGAAAUGUUGGGUUAAGUCCCGCAACGAGCGCAACCCUUAUCCUUUGUUGCCAGCGAUUCGGUCGGGAACUCAAAGGAGACUGCCAGUGAUAAACUGGAGGAAGGUGGGGAUGACGUCAAGUCAUCAUGGCCCUUACGAGUAGGGCUACACACGUGCUACAAUGGCAUAUACAAAGAGAAGCGACCUCGCGAGAGCAAGCGGACCUCAUAAAGUAUGUCGUAGUCCGGAUUGGAGUCUGCAACUCGACUCCAUGGAGUCGGAAUCGCUAGUAAUCGUGGAUCAGAAUGCCACGGUGAAUACGUUCCCGGGCCU